CUUUUCAGAAAUAGGUUUCAACUAUUUCUGUUAAUUGCUACUUCAGCAAAAUAUUUCCUUUGGAAAUUGGAAGUGCUGGAUCAAUCAGAGGACACCAGAAGAUUUGUAUUUGUAACUAUAGAAGCACAGUUGUAUUCACGUGGAGUACUUGUGCACCACCAGAGGAUGACACAGGAUGGUCAGUCAUCAUUGUCCAUGAGUGUGUAUCAUGCAGUAAUGGUAAUACGUCCUUCCAGACCACAGAUGAGACUGGAC
This 255-nucleotide long non-coding RNA is filed under the name Coturnix japonica (Japanese quail). RNAcentral's name for it is "lncRNA (ENSCJPG00005009377.1)". The record is from RNAcentral. Lineage: Eukaryota; Metazoa; Chordata; Aves; Galliformes; Phasianidae.